AGUUCGGAUUGUAGUCUGCAACCCGACUACAUGAAGCCGGAAUCGCUAGUAAUCGCGGAUCAGAAUGCCGCGGUGAAUACGUUCCCGGGCCUUGUACACACCGCCCGUCACACCAUGGGAGUCGGGAAUGCCCGAAGUCAGUGACCCAACCCAAGGGAGGGAGCUGCCGAAGGCAGGCCUGGUGACUGGGGUGAAGUCGUAACAAGGUAAC
This 211-nucleotide ribosomal RNA is filed under the name uncultured bacterium. RNAcentral describes it as "partial 16S ribosomal RNA". It matches the Rfam family "Bacterial small subunit ribosomal RNA", at positions 1290 to 1500 of the family's 1533-position model. The record is from RNAcentral.